This 73-nucleotide transfer RNA is filed under the name Erysipelothrix rhusiopathiae. RNAcentral's name for it is "tRNA-Ala". It matches the Rfam family "tRNA". Rfam says of the family: Transfer RNA (tRNA) molecules are approximately 80 nucleotides in length. RNAcentral also lists the same sequence under 3 other names. The record is from RNAcentral. Lineage: Bacteria; Bacillati; Bacillota; Erysipelotrichia; Erysipelotrichales; Erysipelotrichaceae.
GGGGCCUUAGCUCAGCUGGGAGAGCGCCUGCCUUGCACGCAGGAGGUCAUCGGUUCGAUCCCGAUAGGCUCCA